AAAAUGGUUUUGCUAAAAACCACCAAACUAGACUGUAAAUAAAUGG
Molecule: non-coding RNA, 46 nt
Organism: Capsicum annuum
Lineage: Eukaryota; Viridiplantae; Streptophyta; Magnoliopsida; Solanales; Solanaceae
Source: Rfam